RNAcentral lists this ribosomal RNA (172 nucleotides) under uncultured bacterium. Its description in RNAcentral is "partial 16S ribosomal RNA". It matches the Rfam family "Bacterial small subunit ribosomal RNA", at positions 211 to 382 of the family's 1533-position model. The record is from RNAcentral.
GGUUACGGUAAGAGAUGGGCAUGCGCCCCAUUAGCUAGUUGGUGAGGUAACGGCUCACCAAGGCUACGAUGGGUAGGGGGUCUGAGAGGACUAUCCCCCACACUGGUACUGAGACACGGACCAGACUCCUACGGGAGGCAGCAGUGAGGAAUAUUGCGCAAUGGACGAAAGU